Molecule: transfer RNA, 75 nt
Filed under: SAR86 cluster bacterium BACL1 MAG-120507-bin14
Lineage: Bacteria; Pseudomonadati; Pseudomonadota; Gammaproteobacteria
Also listed under: 13 other names
Description: tRNA-Gln
Rfam family: tRNA
About the family: Transfer RNA (tRNA) molecules are approximately 80 nucleotides in length. Their secondary structure includes four short double-helical elements and three loops (D, anti-codon, and T loops).
Source: RNAcentral
UGGGGUGUAGCCAAGCGGUAAGGCAACGGGUUUUGAUCCCGUCAUGCGUUGGUUCGAAUCCAGCCACCCCAGCCA